Molecule: long non-coding RNA, 1875 nt
Organism: Columba livia (rock pigeon)
Lineage: Eukaryota; Metazoa; Chordata; Aves; Columbiformes; Columbidae
Exons: 3
Source: RefSeq, a predicted model, not a curated record
CUUCAGGAUUUAUCCGUCAGCUUGUUAUGCCUUGUUUGUCCAAGAAACAGUCAAGACCGAACGAGUCAGGAAUGACAGAAAUAGUACAUGAAGUCACAGUCACUCCACUUUAAAGCACAAGCAUUUGUGUCAUUUUCCUACCAAAUAAAUAAAUAUAUGUGCAUUUAUCGAGCAAAUAAGGAAAUGUCAGAGGAAAGGCAUUACAAGCAGGUUUUUGCAGAUGCCAGCUGAUUUUUGCCCACUCCUCCAAGUGAAUGUAAUACAGAUUCCCGCAAGAAUCAGUUCUUUCUACUCAGAAAAGCAAUCACCGGGACUGCACACACCCACAAACCCCUUGAACGCGACAGCACACAAGCCUUAGGAAAAUCCUGUAAACACUAGACUGAAGCUGAAAGACGAAACACAUUUGGGAAGCACACCACCGCUGGAGGGUGGAUGGGAUGGACGGCAGCCACGGCCGGGUCACUAUAGACGGAGGAGCACGUCAGAUGGAAACUUUCCACUUGGAAAUAGAACCAGCCAGAGUUCCAUUUGAAACCCAAUGGCAUCACGGUUCAUGGUGGAAACCAGUUGGAUCUGUGGAUAAAUGACCUGCACUGCCCUGGGUAGGGCUAGAGGAGGAGAACCAAUCUUUUUUAUCCUAUUAGCAGAUCUAUAACUAAAACCACAACACUAACAAUGUGCCAAAACACUGUUUUUAUUAGCUGUAUUCUCACCUUGUUUUAUCAUUCAGGGGAGAUUAGUUCUAUUUGAAAGACUAUCUUAAUCCCCUCACAGCAGCAGGAUUAAAGUCUGGUGAAUUCAAACAGAAGGAACAUAUGAUUUUUUUGUUCAAUACCUUUUACUUCAUGUUAGAAUGUCUGAAUCCAAGAAGCAAAACUAUAAUGCCUAAUAUAGAUAAAGCCUUUCCUGGCUUUUGCAGUUUCAUAGAGAUCGCUGCAGUUUUCACACUUUAACAUUAAAUUACCUGCUAUUUUAUCAAAAAUACUAAUAUACCUUUCAGACAUACCUGGUACUUUCCAUGUUAUUUUUGGUAUUUAUGAAGCCAGCUACAUGGACUUCACAAGCAAGUGACCUUUAAAAAUGAAUCAAGAUAUGUAACAUUUACAUCCUACGUAUUUUACAGCAGGAGAAAAGUUGGCUUCAGCUUCUCCCCUCUCCCUGCACCCCCACUGCCCUUUCCCCACCUCCCCCUCCCAAAUAAGAAUUGUUUCUCUCAAGCCCAUCCCUCUCCAGAAAAAUCUGACCUACGAAUGGCUUUCUCAUAACUCAGCAGACUAGUUUAGUCCUCAGAUGGAUUUAUCAUUAACCACAUAAGCACAUGUUGUCCAUUCUGUUCGACCUAAUGAACGUGCUACAAAUAAAAUAUCUGUAAAAGAAGGUUUCACCGUACUUAUCCAAGCUGUUGCUGCAAGUCCUUGUAACUCCCAAACCCACUUAUGUUAGAAACAUUAAUCACUUGAUUAUAAUUCAAAGCAUCAGCUCUCUACAGCUGAAACUCCCUAGCACUUGACUUUGGCUAGACCUCUAACCUCAACUUACCACUUUCAGGCGUACUCCACAUUUUCUUCUCCAGUCUGUCGCUAAUGUAGAAAAGACGUGGGAAAUCACUUUUAAAAGGUAUUUUUAACCUAGGAGCAUCUCAUUAAAAUAAGAACUAGGUAUGGAAGCUCUAAAGCAAAACCUUUCCCACUUUACUUGGUGUAGCAAUCUGAAAAUACCAGAGGUGCAUUUCACCACAGCUCAUGUCAUUUAAAACCCAAGCAAUGUAAAGAAAAAGUAAUAUAUAUAUAUAUAUAUAUAUAUAGAGAGAGAGAGAGAGAGAGAGAGAAAGAGAUAGAUAGAUAGAUAGAUUUUUUUUUAGAAAAGCCACCA